CAAUUAUCUUCUUACUUUCAUAUUUAAGUAAUUUAGAUUUUUCUUAUAAGCUCCAAUCCUAAUCAGUGACUUUUAACAAACUGUAACUUCUAAUUUGACUAUUUACUUGAUGUAAAAUUUUGCAUGCAAUUUUCAAUGUAAGUCUUCUAUAGGCUCAAGAAUUUUCAAUCCAAUCCAACUUAUAGAUUGUGAAAAAACCUCCAAAAAUUGCACUGAUGUUACUCAUUUGCCAACUUGAAAAGUGAAGCAAAAAUCUAAGCAGUGAUUUCUCUUCCUCAAGUACUUAACUUUGACUCAAAAUUAGUAUACAGCUUGGUCUUCAAGUCCUUCAAUAUCAUGCCAAUUUUUACCUUGAUUUGACUAGUAGAUCUCUAGAUAUCAUAGAAACCC
This 390-nucleotide long non-coding RNA is filed under the name Physcomitrium patens. RNAcentral describes it as "long non-coding RNA (PPAT_LNC002581)". The record is from RNAcentral. Lineage: Eukaryota; Viridiplantae; Streptophyta; Bryopsida; Funariales; Funariaceae.